This 393-nucleotide ribosomal RNA is filed under the name uncultured bacterium. RNAcentral describes it as "partial 16S ribosomal RNA". It matches the Rfam family "Bacterial small subunit ribosomal RNA", at positions 523 to 918 of the family's 1533-position model. The record is from RNAcentral.
AUACGGAGGAUGCGAGCGUUAUCCGGAUUUAUUGGGUUUAAAGGGUGCGUAGGCUGUGCGUUAAGUCAGGGGUGAAAUGCCGUCGCUCAACGACGGAGCUGCCCUUGAUACUGGCGUGCUGGAGUACGGAUGCCGUUGGAGGAAUGAGUGGUGUAGCGGUGAAAUGCUUAGAUAUCACUCAGAACACCGAUUGCGAAGGCAUCUGACGAAUCCGUCACUGACGCUGAGGCACGAAAGCGUGGGGAUAGAACAGGAUUAGAUACCCUGGUAUUCCACGCCGUAAACGAUGAUGACUAACCGUCGGCGAUAGACAGCCGGUGGCCAAGCGAAAGCGAUUAGUCAUCCACCUGGGGAGUACGUCGGCAACGAUGAAACUCAAAUGAAUUGGCGGGG